Molecule: ribosomal RNA, 512 nt
Filed under: Streptomyces sp. MN03-01
Lineage: Bacteria; Bacillati; Actinomycetota; Actinomycetes; Kitasatosporales; Streptomycetaceae
Description: bacterial SSU rRNA
Rfam family: Bacterial small subunit ribosomal RNA
Source: RNAcentral
CCUGAUGCAGCGACGCCGCGUGAGGGAUGACGGCCUUCGGGUUGUAAACCUCUUUCAGCAGGGAAGAAGCGAAAGUGACGGUACCUGCAGAAGAAGCACCGGCUAACUACGUGCCAGCAGCCGCGGUAAUACGUAGGGUGCGAGCGUUGUCCGGAAUUAUUGGGCGUAAAGAGCUCGUAGGCGGCGUGUCACGUCGGAUGUGAAAGCCCGGGGCUUAACCCUGGGUCUGCAUUCGAUACGGGCAGGCUAGAGUUCGGUAGGGGAGAUCGGAAUUCCUGGUGUAGCGGUGAAAUGCGCAGAUAUCAGGAGGAACACCGGUGGCGAAGGCGGAUCUCUGGGCCGAUACUGACGCUGAGGAGCGAAAGCAUGGGGAGCGAACAGGAUUAGAUACCCUGGUAGUCCAUGCCGUAAACGUUGGGCACUAGGUGUGGGCGACAUUCCACGUUGUCCGUGCCGCAGCUAACGCAUUAAGUGCCCCGCCUGGGGAGUACGGCCGCAAGGCUAAAACUCAA